AUGUAUUGGGCUCAUGAUGAUGACAUAGAAGGCUAUUGGCUCGACCUAACUUAUUUUUUUAUGGUCUAUGUUUAGUUUCUUUCUGAACAAGUUACAUACCCUAAUCUAGUCUUAUAUAUAUUCAUGGUCUGAUUGUAUUCUUUGAUCACUUAAUAAAAGAUAAACCUUAACCAAACCAUGUAAUUGUAUUCUUUCCAACUUGUAGACAUAGGUUACCUUGAUCGAACCACAUAAAUCCUAUGUUGUUUGUCUUCUUGCUUUAUUGGGUGUUUGUUUGCUUCCGUAUCGACAUUCUCUUCCUAUCCUAAGAAGAUAAGACAAUUGAUGCAAUUUGGAGUGGAGCAGGUGAAGUGAGGGGCAUCGUGCGAGAUAGUCAAAGAGAGAAGGGGAGGAUUGUGAUGGAACAUAAGAGGGGAGGUGCUAUAGAAUAUAUUCUUAUUUUCACAAUUUUUAAUGUUCUUCUUUAUUCGUAAAAAGGUAUAACUAUUAUUUUGCAUUAACUUGACAUAUCUAGUGUACUAGAUUAACAUAUUUUUUUAUAUUUCCUACUCGAACUUAUAAAUUCUCUAUCUAUAUUUUUUUAUAUUUUCCUACUCGAACUUAUAAAUUCUCUAUCUAUAUUAAUUCAUAACAUUGUGAUUAAUAGUAAUAUUUUUUUGUCUUUUGUGGUUUUUUUUCCAAAGUAAACUUUUGGGGUUUCCAUUUAAUAACAAAACUUUGAUUUCUAAGAAAUUGCCGCAAAAGUUCAAUGUGUUUAUUAGUUUUUGUUUUACUCUUUUUCCCGGAUUUGGUCGUCGUUUAGUGGUCAUAUUUGGUCCCUCAGGUUUUCUUACCCCCUCGACUUUCUAGUACGUGUCGGUAUCAAUUCAACUUUGUUUACGUUUUACAUCACGUGAGUCAUUUAGUGUUAGAAAUUCGUGUUUUUUAAGUUUUUUUUCUCUACUUUGGUCAUCGUUUGGUUGCUACAUAACAUGAUUUUACGCCCCUGUCCCGCAACGCGGGAGCCUUAAGACUAGUUGUGUUAUUAACUGGUGAACGUCUGAACGGUAGGAUCUGUAACCAAAUUUGCAAUAGGAAGCUGUCACGAGAAACAAUAAGUGUAAUUUGGUCCUUAAAUUAUUGAAAGAGUAGUACUCUUAUUAAAAUUUGAAAAUAAGGUUCUGAUGGAAUUGGAAAGGCCAAAAGUGUAAAAAGGGUGAGUGAUGUUGAAAGUGAAUGAAUGAUAAUAAUUAAACAGUAGCCUGAUUAAGGAAAUUAAAUAAUAAGUCAUCUU
This 1273-nucleotide long non-coding RNA is filed under the name Helianthus annuus (common sunflower). Its description in RNAcentral is "hypothetical non coding rna". The record is from RNAcentral. Lineage: Eukaryota; Viridiplantae; Streptophyta; Magnoliopsida; Asterales; Asteraceae.